RNAcentral lists this ribosomal RNA (694 nucleotides) under Bacillus sp. MJH54. RNAcentral's name for it is "bacterial SSU rRNA". It matches the Rfam family "Bacterial small subunit ribosomal RNA", at positions 77 to 755 of the family's 1533-position model. The record is from RNAcentral. Lineage: Bacteria; Bacillati; Bacillota; Bacilli; Caryophanales; Bacillaceae.
AGCUUGCUCCCUGAUGUUAGCGGCGGACGGGUGAGUAACACGUGGGUAACCUGCCUGUAAGACUGGGAUAACUCCGGGAAACCGGGGCUAAUACCGGAUGCUUGUUUGAACCGCAUGGUUCAAACAUAAAAGGUGGCUUCGGCUACCACUUACAGAUGGACCCGCGGCGCAUUAGCUAGUUGGUGAGGUAAUGGCUCACCAAGGCAACGAUGCGUAGCCGACCUGAGAGGGUGAUCGGCCACACUGGGACUGAGACACGGCCCAGACUCCUACGGGAGGCAGCAGUAGGGAAUCUUCCGCAAUGGACGAAAGUCUGACGGAGCAACGCCGCGUGAGUGAUGAAGGUUUUCGGAUCGUAAAGCUCUGUUGUUAGGGAAGAACAAGUACCGUUCGAAUAGGGCGGUACCUUGACGGUACCUAACCAGAAAGCCACGGCUAACUACGUGCCAGCAGCCGCGGUAAUACGUAGGUGGCAAGCGUUGUCCGGAAUUAUUGGGCGUAAAGGGCUCGCAGGCGGUUCCUUAAGUCUGAUGUGAAAGCCCCCGGCUCAACCGGGGAGGGUCAUUGGAAACUGGGGAACUUGAGUGCAGAAGAGGAGAGUGGAAUUCCACGUGUAGCGGUGAAAUGCGUAGAGAUGUGGAGGAACACCAGUGGCGAAGGCGACUCUCUGGUCUGUAACUGACGCUGAGGAGCG